GAAGGUCCAUGGAACGUGAAAUGAAGAACAAGGAAUCCUUGUUCCUCAAGGAAGGACUAUGAAUACGGGUGUAUACACCCUAACUGCAAAUGAUGGAAUACCUAAUUUAUAUCAGGCGACAAUUGACGAUGUUCUGAUAAAUUGUAAGUUUUUAUUUCCGUGUGACUUGCAUACGGAAGAAGUCAUUGCAUACUGCCUACAUUACUACACAGUUAUGCGAAUGCGUCAAUUGACCAUAAUAUAAAGUUGUGAGAUGGUGAAGUGUAGUAAGCUAAAGAAGAAGCAGGCCUGUACUCUAUAUAAUGGGAAAUCAUCCACUCAGAUACGCUACCUGACGGAUCAAAUAUAAACUACUCUAUGCAGGUCAAGCUUAAACUGCUGAUACCAAAUAUAAUAUGUGAGAAAUGUAGUUUAAAAGUGUUAGACUUUUUUUUAAAUAUUAAGUAAUCAAUUAUUAUCUAUAAGCUUAGUUAUUACUUAAAAACAUCUUAAAUUUCAAUAUUUGAUCAAAAAAUUUAAUCAUGGAGUUUCCACCACGAGAAAAUAAAAAUAAAACUUUCUGCUGCGUGUAUGGGUGUAAUAGCAAGUCUAGUAAGAACAAUACAGUUCGAUUUUACACUUUACCUUCGGCAAAUUCUAGUUUUGUAGUAAUUAAAAAUAAAUUUGGUGAAGAUGAAGUGAUUGAUCGUCGAUUAGCUUGGAUAAAAGCAUUGAAAAUUGGGAAUGAGGUUACACAGUCAAAAAAAGUGUUCAUUACAUUUCACCAAAAAUGACUUCAUACCAACAUCCAGUGUUGCGAUAUUGCACCCACAAUUUCAUGCGGUGGAUCUUUUAAACGAGAAGUUUGGAGACAGAAUGCAAUUAUUUUAUACUCAUUAUCACAACUAGUAUCUGAUUGCUGUAGGCCACAUUUCAUUAGAUGUCCCGCAUCAAGUAUAUCUUCACCACCAAUAAAAUUUUUAUGACUAGGCUGAGUAUUUGCAAACUCACAAAUUUCUUGUAUUGAAAUUUUCAUAUUUUAUUGAAUUUUUUUUGAAAAUUCGAGUUUAAUAACUGUAAAUAAAUACACGCUUUCACAUAAGAACACGAAAGCUGAUUUAAAAAUGCGUUUUAGAAUAGUUACUGCUUCUGCCGCAAGGAGAAGCCACGCCCCCGGCAGAUUUCCCAAAAACAAAACGUAUCAGAAUUUUUAAAUAUAUUUCAAUGUAAUAAUAAUAAUAAUUUGCUUAUGCUGAGUAAUUACUGUAUAAGUAUCCCACGCAUUUAUUAUUAUGCAUCCUUUGGAUGGUUUAUCAGGAGUGAUUACCGUUCUUUAACGAGAAAGUUUACCAGUGAAAUUUUAGUUCAACCAUUCUAUAAAAGUGUUUUACCAUACUUGUGGUCAAUUUGAAGAGUUGCCGUAUUUUUCAAUAUAUCAUAAGUAAUGUCGUAGUAAUGUACUGCCGUGGUAAUCCUUACCACAAGAAAUAAGGGCAGCAUACAUGUUCGUCAAUAAUUUCACUGACACAAUUUUUCAUGAAGAUUUUAAGUACUAUCGAUUUUAAGGGGACCUUACGGUCUAGCGGGUGAGAAUUCGACUGCUUUUCAAAAGUUUUUUUUUUUUAAUGAAAGAAAUGAACAAUGUUAUUUAAAUUUUGUAGGUUUUAUUACUUAUAAAUUUUACAAAAUUGGAAAUUAAAAAAAAAAAAAUUUUUUUAUUAUUUUAAAAAUGUACGUACAUGUAGUCAAUCUACUGAUGUUAAAAUGAUCUUCAGAAGUACAAACAUAAACAAAACAUUUCACCACAAACCCGGUUAAUUUACAACUCAGGUGAAUCGCAUCUAGCUGCUUAAUCUAGAUUACAGUUAAAAUAUUAGCCACUCCAUUAAUUCAUAAGCCUAUUUAUAACAUACUUUGACACUGACACAUCUAUUCUAUGUAAAUACCACACCUAUUCACUCGAAAAUGAAUAAAUUGAUAACUGAUAUGAAAUCAAUACAAUCCCAUAGAAAUUAUUC
Neodiprion virginianus is the source of this 1997-nucleotide long non-coding RNA. RefSeq lists it as uncharacterized. The transcript is spliced from 2 exons. NCBI's taxonomy places the organism in Eukaryota, Metazoa, Arthropoda, Insecta, Hymenoptera, Diprionidae. The record is from RefSeq and is a predicted model, not a curated record.